Molecule: long non-coding RNA, 2769 nt
Organism: Schistocerca gregaria
Lineage: Eukaryota; Metazoa; Arthropoda; Insecta; Orthoptera; Acrididae
Exons: 3
Source: RefSeq, a predicted model, not a curated record
GAGCUGCUUCCUGUCCUUCCUCGUACUACUACCACGCAUUGUGCAUAACCACACUGGAUGUUCUAAUAUGAUAAAGAUAUCCUGCCUUCAAGCAUGGGAGAAAUGAAUUUGAAACUGAAUGUAAAAUAUGUGGAGCUCGAAACAUCUUAGUGGCCAAAAGAGAUCUUGCUAAAAAGAUGAUCUCAGCCAGAAAAAUCUCAAAGCACUGAGACAAUGUAAUUGGUCCUCAUGCCUUGAAAGUAACUAUGGAAGCUUUGACUGGCGAACCCUGGUUUGGUGUCACAACCGGUGGAAGUAACAACAGCAAUACAAAAAUGUUCCCCAUUCUUUUUCGGUAUUUUGACUACAAUCUUGGUGGUUUAAUAACAAAAGCAACUGACCUAAAAUUUACCCAUAAUGAAACAUCCGAGACUGUUGAACAGAAUAUUACAAAAACACUACGUAAUUUCCUAUUGCUAAUAAGAGUGUGUCAUUUACCGUUGAUAGUGCUAACACAAACUUUGGAGGUGUAAAUCAUAAGGAAGGCAAGAAUACAUACAGCAGAUUAAAAAGACAUCUUUGAACAAUAAGGAUUUAAUCAGUAUGAGAUGUCCCAUUCACAUUUUGCAUAAUGCAAUUCAGCAUGGUGCUGACAGUCUUUCCGUUGAUUUGGCAUGAGUCAUUGUGAAAAUUACACUAUUUGAAUGGAACAAUUACACUCCUUGUGUGAAUUUGUCGAGGUAAAUUACAAACAAGUCCUGGCUUAUGUGGAAACUAGGUGGUUGUCUAUUUCCCCAGGCACUGAAACGGUACUGGGAAUAUAGCCUGCUCUGAAAUAUUACUUUUUGUCAGAAAGAAAGCCACCAAAUGUUUUAUUUCAGUUCUUUGAGAAUACAUUAAGUGAAACCUACUUAUGGCAUUUGCAUUCAUUGAUAUAUGUGUUCAGUUCAAAUAUUGUACAGCUAGAAAAGGACAACUCUGUGCUUGAAGUGACUGACAUUUUAGAUUCUGUACAUAAAGUGUUUGAAGACUAAUUAAAUGUAAAAUUCAUUUUCCUAAACAUUCAGCAGAAGCUGGAAAUUGUAACAGAAACGGCUUUGAUAAAUAAGUUAAACUUUUCCUGGUGGAAACAAUGUUGCUUUAUCAAUCAUGCCAUGAAUAUUUAAAAUGAUGGCUCUGUAUAUUUGAUGACUUUUUCUGUUUCAAACAGAUGUUUCUUGAAAAGGUGUUAACUACAGUGACAUUGAAGAAAAAUGUAAAUAUUUUGGAAUCACAGAUGUAAAACUUUUUGACCAAUUCUGUAAUUUUAGGCAAUUUCUGAAAAGAAUAGUAAUGAUCCUUAAUUUAAUGGGUUAACUUGUAGUGGUGGAAAAAGAAGAAAUGGGCCAAGUAUUUUUGUGAAAGUUGGUCUGCUGAUUGUCAUUCAGAACUGUUAAAAUUCGCUAAUACUUUAUCAGUACAUCAUGGCAUGAUGCAAAUACAAAAAGAGUAUUUUUGCUCAUUACAACACAGUGGGCUGGAGAUGGGAAUAGGUUGAACCUUGAAUCUGUUAAAGGUGUGUUGAUGGUCUAGUAUAAUUUAAAAGAACUUUUCUGUCUCUCUCUUUUUACAACUAUUUGCUAAGCAAGCCCAAACUUCUACAGAAAAUUGGAUCUUCAGAGAAGUACUAAUAAAGGUUAAGGAUUGUUAUGUCUAUUAAUUAAUUUAUUUAUUAAAUUUGAAUUUGUCCUCCUUUUUGAAACUGUUUGUUCUCUUUUUUUAUAUGUCUGUAUCUGGUCCCCCUUGGCAUGAGUUGCUGUGCAAACAGAGCUUGUAUGACGAGAAUGUGAAGUAUGGUGUGCAUGUGUUCAACAUUUUGUGUGAAAAAAAGGAAGUAAAUAAACUGAUACCUCAGUGAAAGCUGGAAGUCAAAAUUACUUCAUACAAUGAAGUGUGCACAUGAAUAAUGCUUAUGGCACACUUUGACGUUUUGUAGAAUCACAUGGAAUAAUGUUUAUGUGCCAGGCUACAUCACCUUCUGUAAUAGUUAACCUGUUUACAGUCUGAGGGCAGCAGUAAACAGUGAGGAGAUUAAUGCAGUUUUCACACCUCUUGUGUGAACAAUGCUCUAUGUUACAAGGGUGGUGGCGUGUAGAAGGGUGACACUUACAGCAAGUGGUUUGAAAUGUAUAAAUAACGCAGAGAAAAGUAAAAUUCACUUCAGUAAUUGGCAGGAUAUUAAAGGGAAAAGACUUUGUGAUGCUUGAUUUGAAUACAAACCACAAAAAGGUAAUGUAGUUCCUGCAAAACUGCCUACAAGACAGGUGAGAAGAAUAAUGUUGUUUGGGUUUCGUAUAAAGGGAUAUGUCUAUAGAGUAGCGCACACACACAGAAGAGCCAGAGAAACUGGUCCACCUGCUUAAUAUUGUGUAGGGCCCACGAGAGCACACAGUGUGACGCAACAUGACAUGGCAUGGACUCGACUAAUGUUUGAAGUAGUGCUGAAGGGAAUUGACACCAUGAAUCCUGCAAGGCUGUCCAUAAAUCUGUAAGAGUAUGAGGGGAUGGAAAUCCCUUCUCAACAGCACAUUGCAAGGUACCGCAGAUAAGCUCAAUACUGUUCAUAUCUGGGGAGUCUGGAAGCCAGCGGAAGUGUUUAAACUCAAAAGAGCAUUCCUGGAGCCACCCUAUAGCAAUUCUGGACAUGUAGGGUGUUGCAUUGUCCUGCUGGAAUUGCCCCAGCCUGUUGGAAUGCACAAUGGACAUGAAUAAAUGCAGGUGUCAGACGGGAUGCUUAUGUACGUGUCACCU